This is a long non-coding RNA of Trichomycterus rosablanca, 532 nucleotides long. RefSeq lists it as uncharacterized. The transcript is spliced from 2 exons. The record is from RefSeq and is a predicted model, not a curated record. Lineage: Eukaryota; Metazoa; Chordata; Actinopteri; Siluriformes; Trichomycteridae.
UCAUAAAUCAUACAACAGAUCUGCUGUGGAACUAUGUGUUCAUCUAGAUGUACCAGGUUGUUAUGGUGUCAUAAUGUAUACACACAGGAAGUUUGCCUGUUUGCAUGUGACAGAGCCAGGCACCCGGCAGUGGAUUCUAGAGUCCUACAUGAGGAGAGAAUAUAAAAAUACUGCAGGAUUAUGUGAUAAAUCCUGACCAGCUUCUGAGGAGGAAGGUCCAGUUGUUUUACAGUGACGAACAGCUCGGCUCUGCUGUGACAGUGUCAGUUGGCAAAUUGUUCUUUGAUGGCUUGUUGUCCAGGACCAUAAUAAAGACUAUGUUGACUAAGUGACUUGUCCUUGGAUGAGGACUAGGACAUGUGGGCUUGUACAUUAAAACUGUGCUCACUGUUUCUCUUUUCUUAGUGAUUAAUCAGACUAUGCACGUGCCUAUAUUGGAUUUUUUUUAAAUCAACAUUUUAUCAUGAUUUAAAUAAGGAGCCUCUGCAGGCAUUGUAUUUUGGUCUUAAUAAAGCAUCAUCUUGGAUCAUCA